This 531-nucleotide ribosomal RNA is filed under the name uncultured bacterium. Its description in RNAcentral is "bacterial SSU rRNA". It matches the Rfam family "Bacterial small subunit ribosomal RNA", at positions 777 to 1304 of the family's 1533-position model. The record is from RNAcentral.
AAUAGAUACCCUGGUAGUCCACGCCGUAAACGAUGAGUGCUAAGUGUUAGGGGGUUUCCGCCCCGUUAGUGGCUGCAGCUAACGCAUUAAGCACUCCGCCUGGGGAGUACGGUCGCAAGACUGAAACUCAAAGGAAUUGACGGGGGCCCGCACAAGCGGUGGAGCAUGUGGUUUAAUUCGAAGCAACGCGAAGAACCUUACCAGGUCUUGACAUCCCGCUGACCGCUAUGGAGACAUAGCUUUCCCUUCGGGGACAGCGGUGACAGGUGGUGCAUGGUUGUCGUCAGCUCGUGUCGUGAGAUGUUGGGUUAAGUCCCGCAACGAGCGCAACCCUUGUUCUUAGUUGCCAUCAUUUAGUUGGGCACUCUAAGGAGACUGCCGGUGAUAAACCGGAGGAAGGUGGGGAUGACGUCAAAUCAUCAUGCCCCUUAUGACCUGGGCUACACACGUGCUACAAUGGACGGUACAAACGGUCGCGAAGUCGCGAGACGGAGCCAAUCCGAGAAAACCGUUCUCAGUUCGGAUUGUAGG